GACGAACGCUGGCGGCGUGCUUAACACAUGCAAGUCGAACGGAAAGGCUCCAGCUUGCUGGAGUACUCGAGUGGCGAACGGGUGAGUAACACGUGGGUAAUCUGCCCUGCACUCUGGGAUAAGCCUGGGAAACUGGGUCUAAUACUGGAUAUGACCUUUCUCCUUAUGGGGUUUGGUGGAAAGUUUUUCGGUGUAGGAUGAGCCCGCGGCCUAUCAGCUUGUUGGUGGGGUGAUGGCCUACCAAGGCGACGACGGGUAGCCGGCCUGAGAGGGUGAGCGGCCACAUUGGUACUGAGAUACGGCCCGGACUCCUACGGGAGGCAGCAGUGGGGACUAUUGCACAAUGGGCGGAAGCCUGAUGCAGCGACGCCGCGUGAGGGAUGACGGCCUUCGGGUUGUAAACCUCUUGCAGCAGGGACGAAGCGUAAGUGACGGUACCUGCAGAAGAAGCACCGGCUAACUACGUGCCAGCAGCCGCGGUAA
This 483-nucleotide ribosomal RNA is filed under the name uncultured bacterium. Its description in RNAcentral is "partial 16S ribosomal RNA". It matches the Rfam family "Bacterial small subunit ribosomal RNA", at positions 28 to 523 of the family's 1533-position model. The record is from RNAcentral.